CUUACGCUCGAAACCUGCCAGUUUUGGAAAACCUGGCAGGCAGGUUUUGAGAAACCUGCCGGUUUUUCCAUCUUUAAAUUCCAACACUUCUUAUCAUAUCGCGAAGGUUAUGGCACCAUUAAGCUGUUGGAAGUUGCCGAUCACUGGUGGAAUCGCCGCCCAUGGUCAUGGCCUCUUUUUUGCUUGAAUCUCGUCCCAAAUCCUGUUGAACUGGUAAUCUUCCUCGUCCAAUCAUCCAAAAGAGGCUCCCAGAAGAUCAGCAUUAGCAGCCACCUAUAAAUCAAUCCUUGGGAGGUACCAAAUUCCGCUUAUCCAAGAACCAACUCAGGACAAGAAAACAACACUAAGAAUUCAAUUUACCAUGUACUGCAGCCUCCAAAACCCAUCUAACCUUCACCAUUUGUUGAACUAACCCAGAACUAAAGCUGCACUGAACAAUACCAAAGCUCUAGGUUCUGAUCAGUCUGCUACAAGACUACGGGAACUCAGAAAAUACAUUCGAGCUAAACCAGGCACCUUUCAGGUCUGAUCGGGUCAACAGAUGAAGUGUAGCCCCGGAGAUCUAUUCAACUCGAGGGAUCGGUGGGGGAUUCUUUAGUCUCUCGCUGUGCUGGCUUCAUAAAUACGUGCUGGUGAGGACUGAAAAGUGCUGCAAAGGGUGUUGAAGCAUGCUUGAUGUGUGAAAAUUUUAGUUUGUAAAAGACUAGUUUAUACAAAAGUUGACCUCAAUUGACUUUUCUAGUUUUUUGGUUGGUUUUUGUAGUUUUGCAUAGGUAACUGGAGCUUAUUUUUGAACUGUUAUAUCAGAUGGGAAAAUUUAAGUGUAACACGGGCUAAUUGUUGAACUAUUAUAGCAGAUGUGCAAAUUUUACGAGAUUUUCGAAAUGAAUGCACAUAUUUGUGUAAAAGAACUUGAUCUGCAGUA
This is a long non-coding RNA of Spinacia oleracea (spinach), 925 nucleotides long. RefSeq lists it as uncharacterized. The record is from RefSeq and is a predicted model, not a curated record. NCBI's taxonomy places the organism in Eukaryota, Viridiplantae, Streptophyta, Magnoliopsida, Caryophyllales, Amaranthaceae. The transcript is spliced from 3 exons.